UACGUAGGGUGCGAGCGUUAUUCGGAAUUACUGGGCGUAAAGCGUGCGCAGGCGGUUUUGUAAGCCCGAUGUGAAAGCCCCGGGCUCAACCUGGGAAUGGCAUUUGGGACUGCAAGGCUGGAGUUUGGCAGAGGAGACUGGAAUUCCUGGUGUAGCAGUGAAAUGCGUAGAUAUCAGGAGGAAUACCGAUGGCGAAGGCAGGUCUCUGGGCUAUAACUGACGCUCAUGCACGAAAGCGUGGGGAGCAAACAGG
Molecule: ribosomal RNA, 253 nt
Filed under: uncultured bacterium
Lineage: Bacteria
Description: partial 16S ribosomal RNA
Rfam family: Bacterial small subunit ribosomal RNA
Source: RNAcentral